GGCCAGACUCCUACGGGAGGCAGCAGUGGGGGAUAUUGCACAAUGGGGGGAACCCUGAUGCAGCGACGCCGCGUGGGUGAAGGAGCGUUUCGGCGCGUAAAGCCCUAUCGGCAGGGAAGAAGGAGGACGGUACCUGACUAAGAAGCCCCGGCUAACUACGUGCCAGCCGCCGCGGUAAUACGUAGGGGGCAAGCGUUAUCCGGAAUUACUGGGUGUAAAGGGGGCGUAGGCGGCGAUGCAAGUCAGAAGUGAAAGCCCGGGGCUCAACGCCGGGACUGCUUUUGAAACUGUAUGGCUAGAUUGCAGGAGAGGCAAGUGGAAUUCCUAGUGUAGCGGUGAAAUGCGUAGAUAUUAGGAGGAACACCAGUGGCGAAGGCGGCUUGCUGGACUGUAAAUGACGCUGAGGCUCGAAAGCGUGGGGAGCAAACAGGAUUAGAUACCCUAGUAC
This 448-nucleotide ribosomal RNA is filed under the name uncultured bacterium. RNAcentral's name for it is "partial 16S ribosomal RNA". It matches the Rfam family "Bacterial small subunit ribosomal RNA", at positions 329 to 793 of the family's 1533-position model. The record is from RNAcentral.